RNAcentral lists this ribosomal RNA (691 nucleotides) under Epilithonimonas ginsengisoli. RNAcentral's name for it is "bacterial SSU rRNA". It matches the Rfam family "Bacterial small subunit ribosomal RNA", at positions 60 to 751 of the family's 1533-position model. Lineage: Bacteria; Pseudomonadati; Bacteroidota; Flavobacteriia; Flavobacteriales; Weeksellaceae. The record is from RNAcentral.
AGCCGAGCGGUAUUCGUCCUUCGGGACGGAGAGAGCGGCGUACGGGUGCGGAACACGUGUGCAACCUGCCUUUAUCUGGGGGAUAGCCUUUCGAAAGGAAGAUUAAUACCCCAUAACAUAUGAUACGGCAUCGUAUUAUAUUGAAAACUCCGGUGGAUAGAGAUGGGCACGCGCAAGAUUAGAUAGUUGGUGAGGUAACGGCUCACCAAGUCAGUGAUCUUUAGGGGGCCUGAGAGGGUGAUCCCCCACACUGGUACUGAGACACGGACCAGACUCCUACGGGAGGCAGCAGUGAGGAAUAUUGGACAAUGGGUGAGAGCCUGAUCCAGCCAUCCCGCGUGAAGGACUAAGGCCCUAUGGGUUGUAAACUUCUUUUAUACUGGGAUAAACCUACUUACGUGUAAGUAGCUGAAGGUACAGUAUGAAUAAGCACCGGCUAACUCCGUGCCAGCAGCCGCGGUAAUACGGAGGGUGCAAGCGUUAUCCGGAUUUAUUGGGUUUAAAGGGUCCGUAGGCGGAUCCGUAAGUCAGUGGUGAAAUCUCAUAGCUUAACUAUGAAACUGCCAUUGAUACUGCGGGUCUUGAGUGAGAUUGAGGUAGCUGGAAUAAGUAGUGUAGCGGUGAAAUGCAUAGAUAUUACUUAGAACACCAAUUGCGAAGGCAGGUUACCAAGUCUUAACUGACGCUGAGG